This is a long non-coding RNA of Cyprinus carpio (common carp), 1265 nucleotides long. The record is from Ensembl. Lineage: Eukaryota; Metazoa; Chordata; Actinopteri; Cypriniformes; Cyprinidae.
GGAACUGAUGGAGAAGUCAAGGAGGAGCCUCAGAGAAGGUCUGCUAGAUUAUCAGCGGUAAGUUCUUUUCUUUUUAAAGAGAUUUUUAAUGUUAACAUUAUAUCAUUAUUUAAUUUUUUAAAAAGUCUUUGACCUCAAAAGACUUGAGGAACUUUAAAUAUAGUCUUGGAAAUAGUUUUUAGCACUUUUUGUAAUAAUUGACAAUUUAAUUCCUACAAACAACACUUUCAACCUACCACUGAUCUCAGAGCAACAUGAUCAGAAACAUCAUUUCUGCACAAGGUUUUUGUUUGUUUGUUUGUUUUUUAAUUUCAGCAUAAUUGCUGUUAAAUAUUUUUUUACUUCAGCAUAAUUUUCCCAGUCAUUUAAGGUUAUGUGUAGAAUUCAGGAUAGGGCAGAACAACAUAGACCAUUCUAUGUAUUAUUUUAACUAUUUACUUGAACAUGUUUAUUGUUCAGAUGUCCUUGUAUAUAUCAAAAAGUAAGUUUGUGAAUAAAACAUUCUUUCAUUUCCCUUCAGAAACCAACGCCUCCAAAACCUGAACCCAAACCGAAAAAAACUCCCAAGAAAGAGAAGGAAGUGAAUGAUAAAAAGGAAGAAAAGAAAGCAAAGGCUGAGGAAUCCAAGGAGGAAAACCAAUCAGAAAAUGGGGAGACUAAGACCAAUGAGGUUGAAAAAACUCCAGACGAGGCGGCGGAGCCCGAGAAGGAGGACCCGAAGACAGAGUAGCACCACACUUGUCCAUCCAUCUGUCCAUCCGUCCAUCCUUUCCCUUUCCCCCUUUCCUUUCUUUUAUCUUCCUCUCUCUUUCCCAGUUUUAUCUCUCCCUUUCCAGUUCUCUCAGCAACCUCCUCUCUGCCCAUCACAACCAGAGGAAUAUUUUUAUCAGCGAAUUUGUAAAUACUGGUUCAGGUUUUUAGCACAAAAACAAAGCUGACUAAAUCGAGUCUUGUGUUCGGCCGCAGCUGUAUCAGGUGUCUACAACACGAGAGGUGUGAAAAAGGCGGCAUCUUUCUUUAAUUUUGUUGAUUUUCUAUUUUUAUUUCUUCUUUUUUUUUUUUUUUUUUUAAGCGGAUGGUCUGUAGCUUGGUUUUGGAGUGGGAGGAGGCUCUCAGUCUGUAUGUCCGUUAGUGCUCGUGAUGUUUCUGUAUGGGGUUUGUUUUAUUUUUUCUUUUAAACGUAAUUGAUUGUCUUUAAGAAAGAGAAAUGAGUUCAACAAAUGUAGAAGAAAAGAGAGAAAACAAUAAAAGACAAACUGCGUACA